AAGUCGUAACAAGGUUUUCGUAGGUGAACCUGCGGAAGGAUCAUUCAUAAUUGAGUGUUUUAUGGCACUCUUUAAAAAAUCCAUAUCCACCUUGUGUGCAACGUUUUUAGACACCCUGGCGCUGAUAUCUCUUUUAAGAGAAGGAAAGCCAGGAUGUUUGAUUAACUUAACUCAACUCCUUUAAAACAGUUUGUCUGAAUACCUAUUCCUGAAUAACAUAAUUCAAAAAUACAACUUUCAACAACGGAUCUCUUGGCUCUCGCAUCGAUGAAGAACGCAGCGAAAUGCGAUACGUAAUGUGAAUUGCAGAAUUCAGUGAAUCAUCGAAUCUUUGAACGCACAUUGCGCUCUCUGGUAUUCCGGAGAGCAUGCUUGUUUGAGUAUCAGUAAACACCUCAACUCCCUUUCUUUUUUGAAAUGGGAGCUGGAACUUGAGUGAUCCCAACGCUUUUCUCACCGAAAAGUGGCGGGUUACUUGAAAUGCAGGUGCAGCUGGACUUUUCUCUGAGCUAAAAGCAUAUCUAUUUAGUCUGCCUAAAAACAGAUUAUUACCUUUGCUGCAGCUAACAUAAAGGAGAUUAGUUCUUGUGCUGACUGAUGCAGGAUUCACAGAGACAGCUUCAGCUGGCUUUGUAAACUCGAUCUCAAAUCAAGUAAGACUACCCGCUGAACUUAA
This 676-nucleotide ribosomal RNA is filed under the name uncultured fungus. RNAcentral's name for it is "eukaryotic LSU rRNA". The stretch from base 233 to 386 matches the Rfam family "5.8S ribosomal RNA". Lineage: Eukaryota; Fungi. The record is from RNAcentral.